GCUUGGGUCCCCUUCCAUGCUGUGGAAGCUUUGUUCUUUCACUCUUCACAAUAAAUCUUGCUGCUGCUCGCUCUUUGGGUCCAUGCCACCUUUAAGAGCUGUAACACUCACUGCAAAGGUCCGCAGCUUCAUUCUUGAAGUCAGUGAGAUCAAGAACCCAGAAGGAACCAACUCCGGACACAUCUUGGUGACCCAAAUGGUACUAUUGCCAAGUGGUGGAUCCAUAGGAAGGCAAGAGCAUCAGGGUUCAGGCCUGACUCUGCUCUUCUCGGGCUGGUGAUGUCCUAGAAUGUGGAUUUGCCUGUAAUUCGAAAAUGUUGCACUCUUAACGCCACAACACUCAGAGCACUGGAGAGGUGAAUACUGAUUGCCCUUGGCUCUGAGGGCAUGGGAUCAUGCUCUCCGAAAGAACUAAGAAAACUGCGUGGUAACCUGUGUCAGCAAGGCCUCAGGUCAACAGUGGAUAAACAUCUGCUGUGGGAUCAUGCAGGUCUCACUCCUUGUUGAGGGUAUAGUGGGACAACUGUGUGAAGCCUCAGGUGGAAAUCAGCCUGAUCCACCCUUUACAACCUUGAAAGCGCCUGGAUUCUCAGACUUUUCAACAAGAGAGAUAAUCCUUGGAGGAAAAUACUGAGCUUCCUGCUUAUUCAGCGGAUGAGUGCUUAGGCAAUUUCUUGGAAAAAAUAAAAUGAUGUGAGCGUAUUUUCACUUUGAGUUUAUGAGGCUAGUUAUACUCAGGAAAUGUUCAAGAUACAGUUCUAUCUAUCUAUACCUAUCUGUCUAUUUACAUCUAUCUAUCUAUCUAUCUAUCUAUCUAUCUAUCUAUCCAUCCAUCCAUCCCUCUAUCCAUCCAUCCCUCUAUCUAUCUGUCUGUCUAUCUAUCUAUCUAUCUAUCUAUCUAUCCAUCUAUCUAUCUAUCUUCCUACCUACUGUAUCUAUCUAUUUUCCUACCUACUGUUUGCCUAUUUACUAAGAAAAAUUUAACAAUGAACUCUAAGUACUGGCAUUACAGGCAAUUUUCACAUGGUUAUAAGAACGGAUGCUCAAUAAAUAUCUGUUGAAUGAAUAAGUGAAUGACAUUUCUUCUGUGUGCUUUAUGUUUGAUUCUAAACUCCAUGAAAACAG
RNAcentral lists this long non-coding RNA (1125 nucleotides) under Macaca mulatta (Rhesus monkey). Its description in RNAcentral is "lncRNA (ENSMMUG00000057102.1)". The record is from RNAcentral. Lineage: Eukaryota; Metazoa; Chordata; Mammalia; Primates; Cercopithecidae.